UGGUUUACUUUCACUGCUGCACACAACUGGAGGCAAGGCAAGCUGCAUAAGCUUGACAUCAGGAAGCUCCUGAAGCAUCAGCUGAACAACUGAGAAAGAUGUAGACUCUACAGAGGAAAGCUGAAGUUAACUUACAUUUGUUCUAUCCGGUUUCCAUCCUUUGUCUGUUUUCACCUCAACAUUGCAAAAGUACCUGUAGAACACAGCUCCCCAAUACUGUUCAAGAUCCACCACCCUGCCUGGUUUCCAGCUCUCCCAGCUGAUUACCUGGAUCAGGUGUGUUCAAUCAUUCAGAACGAGGAGACACCUGAGUCAGCUCCCAGCAGUGAUCAGAGAACUGUAAAACAUUCAGGGCCAGGAUUGGGCAGCCCUGCUUUAGAAGAGCAAACAUGGGUGAUGCUUAUCAGAUGUAGUCAAUGUUGUGUUUAAAGUUGUACUGCACUGCAGGUGAUGCUCAAGCUUAGUUCCUCUUGUUUGGUGUCCGUUUGCAUCGCAACGCUGACCGACUCCCAGCAGAAUCUUUCUGUUGGGCAAACAAGCGCAGGUGGCAGUGAUCCGGGCAUAAAUAUUUCAGGAGUGUAGCUUUUAGCGGGGCUUUGAAAGGUGGUUUUCUUUGCUAAAGAGGAGUGGGGAAUAAGGGGAAGUAGACCGCAGCACAACUCCAGGAUACAGCUGUAGGAAACCAUCCAGCUGCUCCAUACAUUAUUGAAGACGUCAAUGUCCUGUUUGUCCCGCCUCGGCAGUUAGAAAAGGAAAAAGCCUGCAGCACCAAUGCAACAUUGGGCUCGGUGCAUCUGUGGUGAUCCUUGUAGCAGUGGUUCCCAACCUUUUUCGAAUCGGUUUAAUGCCAGACGGCAUGUUCUCGGACCGACCUGUAAGACACUGAAGUGGACGUCUGGCGUUUGGUUUUGGCUUCCAGUUUUUUUUACUUUUUGAGGAUGCAUGGACCGGCCUGCGGGUUAGGGAUUCAUUUUUGACCAAGAGUUGCAAGAAGAAUCACUUCUGAAGCUUUAUUCUUUUUGUUUGUAAAAAUGCUGUCUCCAAAAGCAAUGAGAAUCAUUUUCAGAACUGAAACACCCAGAAGAGCCUGCAACAGGAAAUCAGGUUUCUCUAAAUUCUUACCUAGGUUUCCUGUUUACUUCAGAGUGAAGAAGCCGAGUCCUUGAAGAGAGCGGACUGAAACCCAACUGCUCGCGUGCACAUCGCACCAUGAGUGUAUGUGCACGGAAUAGUAGCUAACUGUAAAGCCACGACGCUCUGGCUUCCAGACUGAAGCACAUCAGUUCGCAGUCAGUCUCUGCUCACUCCACUGUAAAAGGACUGUUUCCACCUCUGUGUUUGGCUUUAAAGCCACAGAAAAAAAUCAUUGAACUUCUAUGAAUUUUUGUAUGUUUGGGAUCAAGCAUGUGCGAUCUUCUUUGAUAAAAAAUGCUUAAAUUCUUUGAA
Long non-coding RNA from Oryzias latipes (Japanese medaka), 1446 nucleotides. RefSeq lists it as uncharacterized. NCBI's taxonomy places the organism in Eukaryota, Metazoa, Chordata, Actinopteri, Beloniformes, Adrianichthyidae. The record is from RefSeq and is a predicted model, not a curated record.